This is a non-coding RNA of Petromyzon marinus (sea lamprey), 595 nucleotides long. The record is from RefSeq and is a predicted model, not a curated record. Lineage: Eukaryota; Metazoa; Chordata; Hyperoartia; Petromyzontiformes; Petromyzontidae.
UGCUCGACACGGAGUGAACAAGACAGGGGGGGGGGGGCGGCGCUGGUUUGUUUUCCAGACGCGAGCGACAACAGCUGGGGGCCUCCGGCUGGGCCGCUCGUUUGAACUUCACUCCACCCACAACGUCUGGCGGGCUUGGCACCACGAGCCUCGGCGGCGGCGGCGGCGGCGUCCCUCCCGCGCGAACUGCCCCGCCUCCGCUCGAAGCGACGUGCCGCUCGCCAAGGCAGACUCCCGUCAACUGCGAUCAGGGUUCUGGACCAUGGCGUGAUCCGAGCUGGAGAUCAGGCAAACACAUAAUGAGUUGCGAUAUCUCGGCGACCACCGCCUCAUUGCCAUCUGCCAGUUCCGAAGCAAUAGAAAUGUAGUAAGCAGCAGUGCGUGUUCGGACAAGGAGCAGAGGCAGAGUCGCUGGGGCCUGCAUACCACUCAUCAUCCGUCCAUUGCAGCAGAUGUAGACUGCUGAAGAAAUAUGGACGUUGUUUGUGUUCAUCUCAUUUCUUCCUUUUGUUUCACGGGUCACACGGAGAACGUGUUGGCAGCAAAUGUACCACGGAAGCCAUUCGUCCAAUUAAGCCAAUAAACACGUCGAAAA